GUAUGAAGUGAAAUCUUUCGCAGGUGGAGGACCGUCCUCUGUUGAGGAAUGGGAGUGGAACGCCUUUUCUCAUAUCAGCACUUGGACAGCUCCCGGUCCCGUUACGCGCAAGCGCAAGACUUAAAAGUGGCGAACAGCAACCUACAUCCUCACAGAGAUAUGAAAAGUGUAAACAAAGGACGCUACAGCGAGAAGCCGCUGGGAGAGUAUUUGGUACCCCGGUUGCCCUGGAAACAGAUUUCAGAGGCACAUCACUGGAAAUGCUGAAAGGUUGGCCUCCCAGAGCGAGACGGAAGAGAGCUGACUGACAGACACAGACGGAGACGGCAGGAAAUAUACUAUAGGCUGGCUGAAACCCAACGGUGGAGGAACAGGGAUUUCGUAGGCCACCACACAGAUUUAGUAGUUAUUAUUCAAUAUAUAUGUGUACAUAAGCUCUUGGUAUUGAUACAGAUGCUUCAUGGGAACCUGGCAGUGUGAGGAUGUGAGUGGGCUGUGAGGCUUUCAUGGACCACAGGCCUGAAUGACUCAUUCCACAUGAACACACAGGCAUGUGCUGUGGAGGAAACAGCUAAACUUAGUGAGAAGAGAGGAAAAAAAAGGUAUUUCAUUCACAUCAAGCCAACCACACAGGCAUGGUGUUGUGAGAUUACUCUCAGCACAUCACAUGCCUCAAUGCCUUGACAUGCUCGGGGCCAUAUUACACUUUAGUCUGACACUUGGUUACUGACCAGUUUCCAGAUCAUCUUGGCCUGUCUCAGCCUCAGGACGAGUCAUCCUGUUCUCCUCCUCUUUUAAUGCUGAAGUCCAAAUUGCAAGUGUCACAUUGUAUCUCGUGGUUGGGAAUGUAUGGCUUCCUCUGGUGUGGGGAUUUAACAUUAGUGUGUUAUCAGAGGUCUUGUGCAUGGCUUGUUCUACAGCAUGUUUGACUGCAUAGCUACUGAAUGCCUUGUAUGAAUUAUUAACAGGCACAUGUAAUGUUUAUCCACAUUGUUGUUUUUACUAACAAAGGGAAAUAAACAAACUUAGCUUUGUCUUGCAAGUGUCAUGAUGUGCAGCACAUCGUCCAGAUUUAUGUGGAUGACUCUAAUGUCAUUGUGCCUGAUCCAAGGCAAAAAUUCCAUCUAAAAAAAUCUGAUAUUUUUUGACCUUGCUUUAAUGAAUACAUUUCUUACUGGUUAAGAGCCAAAAUUCUCUUUGCACUCGAGUCAUUUAUUUCCCAUCUCUGAGACAGCUGCAGUUUGCUUGUCUGUGUAAUGACAACCAAUCGGAGCUUCAAUUGGCCAUUAGUUUCCAUAAGGAAGGACUUAGGGCCAGGUGGGUCACAUAAUUAAAGGAGAACAAGUCAAAUCUGCGUGUCAUUAAGCGGAGAGAGAGAGAUGUAGUGCUCCUCUUUCUCUGUGAAAGGAGAGAAUAAAACUGAACAAUCCUUUAGACUAGGACUGUCACAGCCAUUAAAAUUAAAGGCUCAAGACAGGCGAAGGUGCUAUUUUAAAGCUGCCCACACACACAACAAAGAUUGGUCGCUGCCUGUUAUUCUGCGGGGAAUUAAGGGUUUUACAUCAUCUUGUUUAUUGUGUUGUCUAAAAAAAUUUGCAGCACAGUUUAUAACUGUAAAAUGAAUUCAAAAGGUUUCCUCUUUUGUAAUCUCUCUGUUAUAAUAUGACACCCCAUCAGUUUAGCCUACUGUACUCUUUGCAUCAGUAUUUGUACACGUUUUUUUUAAGAAGGUUGAACCAGUAACCAGCUGGACCCUCCAUGUAGUCUGCGUAGGCUGUUGUCAUUGAUCCCCCCCCCACACACACUCCAAUAACUGAGGAGUUGUGGACUGACUGGAGAGCUCACCUGGAAACAACAAGCAGGCUUUACCACCCUGAUGCUCAUGUGCACUGGACUGGAGACAAUUGAGAGCUGCAGAGUAUCUAUUGCUCCAUCGAUUCCUUGUAUCUUUAUCCCGCUUAAUGACUUUUUCGCUCUAUAAUUCAACUCAUGGAGCUGAUCAGGGCCUAGCAGGGAUACAGAGAAGUAACUUGUGGUGGGAGCUAUUUUGAUGAGGCAACGCAACAUGCCGGAGGAAGAGUGCAAAGGAUUUAAUGAGUGGAUUCUUGAAGAAAAGGAAGGAUUUGUGAAUUCUCUCGUCCCACAACACCCAACCCACUUAUCAUAAUCUCUCUGUCAUAGCAAAAUGAAGCUAUUUUGAGGCCUAUGUGGCGCACAAGAGAAUGAUAAACAUGUUUAGAUUAUACACACAUACUGGCUGCAACGCAGACACAUGGACAAAUGGUUAAAAAACUCCUCUCUAGAUAUAGUACAGGAGCUAUAGAGUCAUGUGAACCUCGGGUGAAUGAACAGCCUAAAUGCUGAGGAUGCUGCUCCUUAGGUCAUGUUAUCCCUCAGGCCAAGUGAAGAGAGCAAUGCUGGUCUUCACUAAGACUCAUCUGUCAAUCACAGCUUCCCUUCAUCAGUGGGAGCAACCUGACAGCCACAGAGCCUUUCUCCAUCACUGAGCACUGAAAACCCGCUGAUCCCCAGUCUAGACCCCCGUACACGCUCCACAGUCACUCUGUCUCUGCACACCCAAACAGCUGAAUAAAAUGCCACAGUGCUUUUUACAGGAUGUACACAUCAUAUCGAACACUUAAGACUGUGUUCAGCUUGCUAAGCAAUUACUCUUCAAGCAACGGCGAAUCCAUCAUGUUUUCGCUCAGAUCUGCAUGUCAGGAUGUCUCCCCUGAGUUCCAGUUUCUGUGCAGUCACCCAAACCCUAAACAGCACACAUACACAUACUUUUCCCUGGCCAAUGUCUGGUCCAUGUUGACACUGGCUCACCAUUUAUUUAUUUCUAGCUCCCAGGCUUGUCUCACUGAGCGUUGUCACUGGAGUUGUGCAGCUGUCAAAGUGAUGCAAGAAUAGAUUGAAGAUUGAAUGCAGUUUCAAUUGCUGAACUGGUUUACAUCACUUUUUUCCUUUCAGUGGAGCUUAGAUGUAUGUUAUGGGACCAAUUACUCCAUGAGAGGGCCACUGGCAGAGCGGCAGUGCUUGUUCCCUGGCUGUUUUAGAUAUUUAUGGGGAAACUAAUCUCUUAUACACAGAGUCUUGUGUCGAAUAUUAAUGUGUGUUGAUAUUCCACCCUAAUGUGACAAUUUUGAAAUGGAAAAAAUUCCUGUGGCAGGAAAUACUGUUAAAUGUAGCUGGUUGCAACAUGUCACCAGGUCAAACAGGGGACGUUAUGAUUGUUGUCAUAUAGAGGAGCAUGUGCAGGUAUACAGUUAAAGGCUCGCUGUUAGAAUACAUGAUGUGCUUGCACAAACAUGGCUUCAUAAAAGUGACUAGCAUGCAGCCUGUCAAAUGGAAGAACACAUUAAAGAUGACUGACUGUCACACUCAAAAUGAAUCCAGUUCUAUAGAAGUGAGCAGCAUACUGUACUUGGGAGGGUUAUCUAUGUUGUUUUCUGUCGGUAAAGCAUUACAUCUUUAGCUUGUGAGCUGAGCUGCUGUGUGUUAUCCUGAAGUAAAGGAUCGCUGGCAGCUCACAGAAACUCUGUUCUCUAUUAUCAAGUAUCAGUGUCUCCUUGAAUUGACACUUGCCAUGUCUCUUCCCCUCCUCAUCAUGUUUGUCUUUCUAGCUGUCAGAAAGUAAGGUUUACUAUAUUCACAGCUGUGCCACAACUGUAUUUACUUACAUUUUCUUUCACAACUGAAAUAGUUUUUGAUCAUGAAUCUGACUAGUUUCUAGCACGUCUAUUGUUUUAUCUUGAGUUAAUCAUUAUAUGCCUCCCAAACUCUGACUACCUCAAAAUGGCAUGUUUUGGUUUUUUGUUUUUUCAGAAUUCAGCGAUAGCAUUUCUCAUGAAUAUUUUCUGUGUCAUUCACAGGGAUAGGUGCUAUAAUGUGACUAGCACUUUCACGUCACUUCACUUUAUAGCUCACACCUUGAAUGAAUUAAUUGUAAAUGAAAGCUUGGAUUUUUAGAAAACGCAUCAGAGGCUUCUUGAAUGUAAUGUUAAAAAUGUACAAAUGAAACAAGAUUUCCAAAGUACCACAAUAAAAUCAAAUAAAAUCCUUGAA
This is a long non-coding RNA of Siniperca chuatsi (mandarin fish), 4068 nucleotides long. RefSeq lists it as uncharacterized. The record is from RefSeq and is a predicted model, not a curated record. The transcript is spliced from 2 exons. NCBI's taxonomy places the organism in Eukaryota, Metazoa, Chordata, Actinopteri, Centrarchiformes, Sinipercidae.